GUGCUCGCUUUGGCAGCACAUACACAAAAAUAUGAAUGCUACAGAGAAGAUUAGCAUGGCCCAUGCGUAAGGAUGAAAUGCGAAUUCGUGAAGCAUUUCAUAUUAAA
Small nuclear RNA from Peromyscus californicus insignis, 107 nucleotides. NCBI's taxonomy places the organism in Eukaryota, Metazoa, Chordata, Mammalia, Rodentia, Cricetidae. The record is from RefSeq and is a predicted model, not a curated record.